UUGUUCAAAUCAGCAAAAGACAUGGUUUCGAUCAUUUCAGUUACCUGGAUUAUAUUAUUCUACAUUGUGGUGACGGAGGGUCAAAUCACAAUGACUCAGACUCUAGACAUUGUCUCGGUGUCUCCUGGACAAGAUGUCAAUCUCCAGUGCAGUGCAAGUCAGGACAUUGGCUGGGGCUUAUCCUGGUACCAGCUCCAGCCUGGACACAGUCCCAAACUGCUGAUUAAAGCUGGGAAUGAGAGAUUCGAUGGGGUUCCAACUCGUUUCAGUGGCAGCAGAUCUGGAACUGUCUUCACCUUCAAAAUCACUGGAGUCCAGGCUGAAGAUGGAGGAGAUUACUAUUGCCUUGGUUAUAAAAGCAAUCAGUUCACUUUUGGGCAAGGCACCAAGGUGGUUGUUAAAACCGGCGCCAGCGUGAAGCCCACUGUGUCGCUGUUCCCCCCGUCCCCCAAUGAGCUGUCCGCCGGCUCGGCCACGCUGCUCUGCCUGCUCAGCGGCUACUUCCCUGAGGGGGCCAGCAUGGAGUGGACGGUGGACGGCUCCAAAGUGACCAGCGGGGUCCUGACCAGCGCCGAGGAGGGGAGGGACGGGAAGUUCAGCCGCAGCAGCUCCCUGAAGCUAAGCAAGGCCGAGUGGGAGGCCAAGGAGGAGUACGUGUGCACGGUGACCCACGACAACUCGCCGGCCUCCUACAGUGUCCGCAGGAGUCAGUGCGCAGGCGCCGCGGCGUGACGCACCAGACGGCCCUGUCCAUCCUUCGCCUGACUGGAGCUCGGGCCCCCCCUGUGGAGCUUGAGGAGAAGAGGGGUAGAGAACCCUCUACUCAGCCCCUGUAUGUCUGCAGCUCCUGUCCCUCAGCAAAAUAGCUCAGCAAGCUUGUACAGAGUGUUAGUUUAAUCACUAGUGUUUAUCUGUUAAUUGUUGCUUUUUCUAAGACAUUUUUAUUGUUUGCUGUACUCUAGAGGUGAAAAUAAAAUGCACUAUGUCAAAGGCA
This is a non-coding RNA of Lepisosteus oculatus (spotted gar), 994 nucleotides long. The record is from the annotation of a RefSeq genome assembly. Lineage: Eukaryota; Metazoa; Chordata; Actinopteri; Semionotiformes; Lepisosteidae.